CCUACGGGUGGCAGCAGUGAGGAAUAUUGGUCAAUGGCCGGAAGGCUGAACCAGCCAAGCCGCGUGAAGGAGGAAGGUGCAAAGCAUUGUAAACUUCUUUUGUCAAGGGACAAAAUCAGGCACGAGAGCCUGACCGAGGGUACCUGAAGAAAAAGCAUCGGCUAACUCCGUGCCAGCAGCCGCGGUAAUACGGAGGAUGCGAGCGUUAUCCGGAUUUCUUGGGUUUAAAGGGUGCGUAGGCGGACUGGUAAUUCAGCGGUCAAACCCCGGGGCUCAACCCCGGCGCGCCGUUGAAACUGGCUGUCUUGAGUUGUCGAUAGUUAUGCGGAAUGCGCCUUGUAGC
Molecule: ribosomal RNA, 343 nt
Filed under: uncultured bacterium
Lineage: Bacteria
Description: partial 16S ribosomal RNA
Rfam family: Bacterial small subunit ribosomal RNA
Source: RNAcentral